CCGACUGCUAUCAGAGUGGGACUAAGCCAUGCGAGUCGACAUAGCAAUAUGUGGCAUACGGCUCAGUAACACGUAGUCAACAUGCCCAGGGGACGUGGAUAACCUCGGGAAACUGAGGAUAAACCGCGAUAGGUCAUCACUUCUGGAAUGGGUAAUGACUUAAACCUAUAUGGCCCCUGGAUUGGACUGCGGCCGAUCAGGCUGUUGGUGAGGUAAUGGCCCACCAAACCUGUAACCGGUACGGGCUCUGAGAGGAGGAGCCCGGAGAUGGGCACUGAGACAAGGGCCCAGGCCCUAUGGGGCGCAGCAGGCGCGAAACCUCUGCAAUAGGCGAAAGCUUGACAGGGUUACUCUGAGUGAUCUCCGUUAAGGAGAUCUUUUGGCACCUCUAAAAAUGGUGCAGAAUAAGGGGUGGGCAAGUCUGGUGUCAGCCGCCGCGGUAAUACCAGCACCCCGAGUGGUCGGGACGUUUAUUGGGCCUAAAGCAUCCGUAGCCCGGUUCUACAAGUCUUCCGUUAAAUCCACCUGCUUAACAGAUGGGCUGCGGAAGAUACUAUAGAGCUAGGAGCGGGAGAGGCAAGCGGUACUCGAUGGGUAGGGUAAAUCCGUUGAUCCAUUGAAGACCACCAGUGGCGAAGCGCUUGCCAGAACGCGCUCGACGUGAGGGAUGAAAGCUGGAGAGCAAACCGAUUAGAUACCGGUAGUCCAGCUGUAACGAUGCGCUUGGUUAUGAAUUGGCUUAUGGUAAUUCAAGCCCGCAAGGAAGCCGUUUAAGUUUUCCGCCUUGCGAGGUACGGUCGCCAAGAACUGAAACUUAAAAGGAAUUGGCGGGGGAGCACCACAAGGGGGUGAAGGCCUGGCGGUUCAAUUGAAGUCAACGCCGGGAAAUCUUACCCGGGGGCGACAGCAGAGUGAAGGUCAAGCUGAAAGACUUUACCAGACCAAGCUGAGAGGAGGUGCAUGGCCCGUCGCCAGCUCGUGCCGUGAGGUGUCCUGUUAAGUCAGGUAACGAGCGAGAUCCCUGCCUCUAGUUGCUACCAUUAUUCUCAGGAGUAGUGGAGCUAAUUAGAGGGACCGCCGUCGCUGAGACGGAGGAAGGUGGGGGCUACGGCAGGUCAGUAUGCCCCGAAACCCUCGGGCCACACGCGGGCUGCAAUGGUAAGGACAAUGAGUUUCGAUUCCGAAAGGAGGAGGCAAUCUCUAAACCUUACCACAGUUAUGAUUGAGGGCUGAAACUCGCCCUCAUGAAUAUGGAAUCCCUAGUAACCGCGUGUCACUAUCGCGCGGUGAAUACGUCCCUGCUCCUUGCACACACCGC
This 1318-nucleotide ribosomal RNA is filed under the name uncultured bacterium. RNAcentral's name for it is "bacterial SSU rRNA". It matches the Rfam family "Archaeal small subunit ribosomal RNA", at positions 23 to 1349 of the family's 1478-position model. The record is from RNAcentral.